This 4057-nucleotide unclassified non-coding RNA is filed under the name Ooceraea biroi (clonal raider ant). Its description in RNAcentral is "transcription factor Sox-19b, transcript variant X1". Lineage: Eukaryota; Metazoa; Arthropoda; Insecta; Hymenoptera; Formicidae. The record is from RNAcentral.
CGCCCGGACCGUAGGUCUACAAGCAUUCCACAACCAUCAUCUGCGAGGUGAGAAGUGCGAGCGUGCAGUCUCUCUCCGUCCCUUGACCGUGCGGCACAAAUCGACCGAAAAUCGCGUCGUGUUUCUCGAGUUCUCAAGACCAACGAGAUGUGCUCGAAUACGAACAUCGCGUUGCGUAACGGUGGCGAUACAUGAGAGGACUGGUCGGAAGACUGAUAGUGACGUGAUCAGUGAACCGCGGACUAUCUAACCACAAAUCGUGUGCAUGACGAAUUAAAAGCAGUGCAGUGAUCCGCAAUAUUGUCACGUAUUUCCUGAUUGAUUAUUGAUUGAUUGAUAUAGUGAUUGAUCAUUAAGUAUCGAGGCAUCGUGUGAGACGAAAGUCUCAACCACGGCAGCAAAAUUGAUCUGGACUUGCACCAACGCACCGCCGGCUUUAUGAGAGCCGGCGGCAGCAUGUGCGAUGGUUCCUUCACGGAGACUCUGCGUAGUAUGCAGGGAAUGACGGGAGCGUCGCCACCGGGUGGUACCGGUGUCAAUCCCAUGGGGGUUGGCCUCGGUAGUCCGCUUGUCCCAGCAGGCAAGAAAGUGCAGGUGGAACACAUUAAACGGCCGAUGAAUGCCUUUAUGGUCUGGUCACGGCUACAACGACGGAAGAUCGCGCAAGAGAAUCCCAAAAUGCACAACAGCGAAAUCUCCAAGAGGCUUGGUGCCGAAUGGAAACUCCUCACAGAAGAUGAGAAACGCCCGUUCAUUGAUCAGGCAAAAAGGUUACGUGCCCAGCAUAUGAAAGAACAUCCGGAUUACAAGUACAGACCACGAAGAAAACCCAAGACUCUGCGGAAAGAAGGCUACCCUUACAGCAUCCCAUACCCAAGUGUUCCCAUGGAUGCUCUUCGAGCCGGUAUGGCUGGUAGCAUGGGACAAGCAGGAAUGGGCUCUUAUUACAGUCCCGCGGCGGCCUACGGCUCUAUCUCAGCAGCCAGCAUGGCCGCGGCCGCGGCUGCGGCCGCACAACAGUCGGCCGCCAUGUCUGGUCUCGCGGCACCUGCUCAGGUGGUGAGCUCGAUGGAUGCCAUGAAAUAUUCCAUGGAAGCUGACAAGUAUCGCGCCGCCUACAUGCCGCCUAGUACUCUGGCGAUGAGUAUGUAUCCGGAUCCCAAGUACCUGGACUCAAACCCUAAAACCUAUCUGGACCGGAGUUACCUAGUGGACUCCGCGAAGGCGUACUUCGAGCAAUCCAAGCUUUACAUGGAUCAGAAACCUACGAUUGUCGACUACAACCGGCCCAGUUAUGAGCCUAAUAAGCUGUACGAAGAAUCCAGCCCAAACAGCGUCAUCGGCGGCAAUGGAUCCACUCGGUCACCGGCUGCAGAGUCGCCUGACACGAGCAAACAGCAUGAGAGAACAGAACAAGCCUCGUCUAGCGCGAGCUCAACAUCGACGUCAUCAGCUGCAAGUCCCGGCGCGACUCUCCCGACAUAUUAUUCCGGACCAGUCCAAGCCAGUGGUUUAUUGGCCCCACAGAUGGGACAAUACGGUGGAUACCAAGCAGCGCCUACACCGGGAAACGAAUCCUUUCGCCGACCAUUGACAGUCAUCUUCUGACCAUCCGAUAGACCGUAACUCUGAUCCAUUUUCGAGGAGCACUUGCUGUGAUGGCUAACUCGUUGGAUUGCAACAAUUGGACCGCGAACUCGACCGAUCAGAAAUGACAGUGCAGCAAAAGGAAUUUCUGUACGUUACCAGUCGCGGUUCCAAUUGAGGAUCAGAGCCUAAUUCUCUGUCAACAUGGAACAUAAUUCGGAGUUAUUAUGAGGAUCUAUUAAGCUCAUAAAUGAUCUACAUUUUUCUUUAGGCAAAUCAAAGUAUAACUUACGUUAAAAGUUUUGCCCGCUUUUAUGCAGUUUUAUAGUGCUGCCACAAAUAAGGAAAAUAAUUUUAAUGAUUUAAUCGAUGCAAAAUAACCUCAAAAAAGGAUCAAAAUCGCAAAACUGGCAAUGGAAGUUACAAUAUGAAAAGGAAGAACCCAAUUAAAUUCAUGACAAGAUCUUAAUUAGUCAAGAAAACACUACUGACAUUUGACUGGGAUCUCUUAUGUCAACACUCCUUAGAAGACAUACUUUUGAAUAUUGGACGAAUUAUUAAAACAGCUUGAUGGCUUUCUAGCAUCCAAACACCACAGUCUCCUCUCCGAUGGAAUUCAUAUACUGCCCGAAAAAUGAUGUAAAGUGAUGUCGAAAGGGAUGUCAAUGAUUUAAUUAGUAAUCUUUUUUAUAAAAAGUAGUGAACUUAGUAAAAAGGAUUAGAUUAUUUAUGAGCAUGUCUAAUAUUUCCUAGAAGAAAAGUUGUCGCGGGCUACAGCGUAAAGUGGAUUUCACGUAAUAAAAGUGAAAGAAACUGCGUGUGAUAGUGCUCUAGAAACAACAUUCUCUUUGUUCAACUAGAUUUCCCGAAUCUUGCCAAACUUUCCAACAAUGGCUUUUUCUGGACAAUAUUUCAAUUUCCCCGAGGAAGAAUUCCAGCAAGCUUCUAAGGAUUCUAGUAACCAAUAAAGCGAGUUGAGCACAACAGAUGAAGAUCUCUUGAAUAGAAUGGGAUUUAGAGUUAUGAAAAAACUCACUGAUACUUCCUAAAAUCAAGAUAAUUCUCCCAAUGUAAUCUUGACAAAUCGAUUAUAGUUCAUAAAAAAAGGGUGAGCACAUGCAUCUUUGAAUACCAAUUAUUUUAGGAAGUGUUAACCCAACAGUUUGACGUCUGUCGUUCAAGACAAUCGAUUUGGAAGAAUCAUCAAAGGAAGAGGAUUAAAUACAUCUUCCUGAUAAUUAGAUAUAUAAUAAUUCACUGUAUCUUGCUGUUAAAGCAUCGCUUUUAGAGCGACGAUCUACCAGCAAAAUGGAGUCUGACUACCAAACUUCAAGAAAAAUGGACGACUAACGACAACGUCGUCACGGAUGACAACGAAGACCAUAAGGACAUUCGCUUGUGUUGUCGACUGACUAGUCUUGACCGAAAUUGUGUUAAAAGUACGUUGUACAUAGUCCCUGUGUAAAUAGUGUAGUAAAAACUUGGCUUUCCCGACGUUUCCGCAAAUUCGCUUUCUCACGGCCUCCGUCGCAGAGGCACAGAAACUCGUAGUCUCUGAGGAGAAAGCAGUACAAAUGGAAUCGUGUGCGUGCGUGGUGUCAUGAAGACCUGUCGCGAGUGUUCGAUCUCGUCGAAGCGGCGUAAGCAUCCUUCUCUUCGUUUCUUUUCAACUCGCAACUGGUAAUGAAUGUGUAUUUAAUCUUAUAUACAACAUAUACAGUUGUAAGCUUGGUAAAACGGCUGGUUCGUGCAUUUUAGAACUUCAGUGACUACUUUUAAGAAACUGUCGUAGCUCAGGAGUAAAAGUAAGAGCAAUUUUAUCUUUCCAAUGAUGAUUUAAUUACUCUACUCGAAGCAAUAUUACCACUUGUGAGUUGAAAGUUCCAUUCGUGGGUAGAUAAAUUUGCAUCCAUGGACAUUUUCUAUGAAAGAUUGCAUUUAAUAUGUCCGCAGGUUUGUGCACUCGCGAAGCUAUUGUUGCAUUAUAGAGUUUGCGAAGUUUAUUUGCGAUCGUCGCACCUCGUACGAUCGCAGAUCGUUUUCUUUUUUUAAUUUUGCUAUCGAUAAUCAUAGAUGCAUAUUUAUUAUUAAUUUUUUUAGAUAAAAAUUACUUUUCACCACGAUAAUAAUAAUAAAUUGUAGGAAUAUGAAAGUUUAAUAAUUCUUGUUAAUUUCCUGGCUGACAAGAGCGUUUCGCCUUGGGGUCUGUUGGUUAUUUUCUGUUUUUCGAUCUGUUGUCGCUUUGUGGUGUCCAUCAAAUCGAGUUUACAAGGGACAAAGUAAGCUGCGGAGAACACCUCGCUCAAAGAGCGAGACAUUCCUGCUAUACGACGUGUAACCUUUGUAUUCGUACCGUUACGAUGAACCUUAAGCUGUAUCGAUUAUCCGCGUAUAACAUAACAAGUGACAAAAAUAAGAUAUAAAUAUUGUAACGUAAAUAAAAAAUAAACGUUAAAUAUUAUCCUUGGAA